UCUGAAAUGAUUUAUUCACACAACACUAAAAGACCAAGACCUCAAGGCAAGGAUGACAUGUACUGCUCUUAAUGUUCCUACUAGGCACUUUAAUGAAUCAGUCAACAAACAUUGUUUCUUUAACUUCUAUCUUGCAGUGUGCUAGAAACCAUUAGUGACUUACUGCAGAGAAACAGGUAUAUCGGGCAAAUAAAGAUGGAUGAGAUAAGUGAGAAGAGAGUCAAUCUGCCUGGAGUUGCAGGUCACCAGUGGUGGCCACUACAGGAUAAAGCCACUGAGAAUCAGGAGAGCUAGUUACAGGCCACAAGCUUCAUUAGGUCCCAGGAGCAAAACGCAACUAGGAAGAUCUGAGGUUGGGGAAGGUACUCUCAACAAUAUUUCCAAUGGCCAAAGAGGGUUCAAGGAGAGCUCAUUGGGGUAUUAAAAGAGUAACUGUUAUGUUCUGGUUUUGG
RNAcentral lists this long non-coding RNA (452 nucleotides) under Bos taurus (domestic cattle). RNAcentral's name for it is "long non-coding RNA NONBTAT020209". The record is from RNAcentral. Lineage: Eukaryota; Metazoa; Chordata; Mammalia; Artiodactyla; Bovidae.